This 497-nucleotide ribosomal RNA is filed under the name uncultured bacterium. RNAcentral describes it as "partial 16S ribosomal RNA". It matches the Rfam family "Bacterial small subunit ribosomal RNA", at positions 28 to 507 of the family's 1533-position model. The record is from RNAcentral.
GAUGAACGCUGGCGGCGUGCCUAAUACAUGCAAGUCGAGCGAACAGACGAGGAGCUUGCUCCUCUGACGUUAGCGGCGGACGGGUGAGUAACACGUGGAUAACCUACCUAUAAGACUGGGAUAACUUCGGGAAACCGGAGCUAAUACCGGAUAAUAUAUUGAACCGCAUGGUUCAAUAGUGAAAGACGGUUUUGCUGUCACUUAUAGAUGGAUCCGCGCCGCAUUAGCUAGUUGGUAAGGUAACAGCUUACCAAGGCAACGAUGCGUAGCCGACCUGAGAGGGUGAUAGGCCACACUGGAACUGAGACACGGUCCAGGGUCCUACGGGAGGCAGCAGUAGGGAAUCGUCCGCAAUGGGCGAAAGCCUGACGGAGCAACGCCGCGUGAGUGAUGAAAGUCUUCGGAGCGUAAAGCUCUGUUAUUAGGGAAGAACAAAUGUGUAAGUGACUAUGCACGGCUUGACGGUACCUAAUCAGAAAGCCACGGCUAACUACGUG